GAUGAACGCUGGCGGCGUGCUUAACACAUGCAAGUCGAACGAUGAAGCCCAGCUUGCUGGGUGGAUUAGUGGCGAACGGGUGAGUAACACGUGAGUAACCUGCCCUUGACUCUGGGAUAAGCCUGGGAAACUGGGUCUAAUACUGGAUAUGACUUCUCAUCGCAUGGUGGGGGGUGGAAAGAUUUAUUGGUCUUGGAUGGACUCGCGGCCUAUCAGCUUGUUGGUGAGGUAAUGGCUCACCAAGGCGACGACGGGUAGCGGGCCUGAGAGGGUGACCGGCCACACUGGGACUGAGACACGGCCCAGACUCCUACGGGAGGCAGCAGUGGGGAAUAUUGCACAAUGGGCGCAAGCCUGAUGCAGCGACGCCGCGUGAGGGAUGACGGCCUUCGGGUUGUAAACCUCUUUCAGUAGGGAAGAAGCGAGAGUGACGGUACCUGCAGAAGAAGCGCCGGCUAACUACGUG
Molecule: ribosomal RNA, 466 nt
Filed under: uncultured bacterium
Lineage: Bacteria
Description: partial 16S ribosomal RNA
Rfam family: Bacterial small subunit ribosomal RNA
Source: RNAcentral